UUGAACGCUGGCGGCAGGCCUAACACCUGCAAGUCGAACGGUAACAGGAAGCAGCUUGCUGCUUUGCUGACGAGUGGCGGACGGGUGAGUAAUGUCUGGGAAACUGCUUGAUGGAGGGGGAUAACUACUGGAAACGGUAGCUAAUACCGCAUAACGUCGCAAGACCAAAGAGGGGGACCUUCGGGCCUCUUGCCAUCGGAUGUGCCCAGAUGGGAUUAGCUAGUAGGUGGGGUAACGGCUCACCUAGGCGACGAUCCCUAGCUGGUCUGAGAGGAUGACCAGCCACACUGGAACUGAGACACGGUCCAGACUCCUACGGGAGGCAGCAGUGGGGAAUAUUGCACAAUGGGCGCAAGCCUGAUGCAGCCAUGCCGCGUGUAUGAAGAAGGCCUUCGGGUUGUAAAGUACUUUCAGCGGGGAGGAAGGGAGUAAAGUUAAUACCUUUGCUCAUUGACGUUACCCGCAGAAGAAGCACCGGCUAACUCCGUG
RNAcentral lists this ribosomal RNA (489 nucleotides) under uncultured bacterium. Its description in RNAcentral is "partial 16S ribosomal RNA". It matches the Rfam family "Bacterial small subunit ribosomal RNA", at positions 30 to 507 of the family's 1533-position model. The record is from RNAcentral.